Molecule: long non-coding RNA, 435 nt
Organism: Malurus melanocephalus (red-backed fairy wren)
Lineage: Eukaryota; Metazoa; Chordata; Aves; Passeriformes; Maluridae
Exons: 3
Source: RefSeq, a predicted model, not a curated record
UAUUCCACCGGAGGAUCUGCACAUACAUAAACCAUUCCAGAAAUUAAGCUGCUGUAAGCACAGCCAUGGCCUUYCCAGCUCACUGCAGUAACAACACCCGUGGUGUGAUUCCGGGAAGGAAGCAGAGCUCCUGGAGUCAGCACGGCAGGGACAUGCCUUGCUGUUCAAGCAGGGGCAAUGGAGAGUCCCUUUCAUCUGCAUCAUCCCGUGGCCUUCAGACAACUGAAAUAUCAGUUAUAGAACAGCAACAGGCAGGAGUCAAAGUAUGUGCAGCUAUUUCCAUGGCUGAAGAGAAGACAGCUGGUCAGCCACAAAUACCAUUCUUACAAGUGCCAUUCCAAUAGUCACAUUAUGAAUUAAAAGCAGAAGAAUGAAGUACAAGAGGAACCCUCAGCUGAUACCCUGCUGAACCAGGAGCGAGGGCUGUGUGCUCUG